Molecule: small nuclear RNA, 27 nt
Filed under: Arabidopsis thaliana (thale cress)
Lineage: Eukaryota; Viridiplantae; Streptophyta; Magnoliopsida; Brassicales; Brassicaceae
Description: snRNA_15149
Source: RNAcentral
GGUCAGGCGGGAUUACCCGCUGAGUUU